UUAAAGUUUUAUUCUUGCUUUGUAAUUCACUUUUUGCUUAUUUUAUAUGUGAAUUUUUGUUAUUGGUUAUAUCUAUAUGAUUUUUUGCAGUAUUAGAUAUUAAAUAUUAAGGGUACUUAGAUUUGGUUAUUUAUUUAUUAAUUGGUUAAAUUUGUGCCAGCAUCCGCGGUUAUACAAAGAAUUAUUGUGAAUAUUUUUGGUUAAUAGUUAAUUUUUUUCUUGAAUUUGUUUUUAUUAUUUUAGGGUGAAAUCUUAAUUUUUGUUGUUUUUUAAAAUAAUGAAUCUAUGAAAUCCUUAUUAUAAACUAGGAUUAGAUACCCUAUUAUUAUGGAUGUUAAUCUUGUUAACCUGAGUAGUAAUAGUUAAGGUCUUGAAACUUAAAGAAUUUGGCGGUAUUAUAGUCUUUUUAGAGGAAUCUGUCCUUUAAUCGAUAGUCCACGUUGAACCUUACUAAUUUAUUGUUUGUAUAUCGCCGUUAAUCUGAAUAUCUUUUUAGAGUUUAUUUUCUGUAUUUUUCUUUAAACAUUAUUUCAGGUCAAGGUGCAGCUUAUUGAUUAGUAGAGAUGGAUUACAUUUUUUUUUGUUAUUGGUUUAUUUGAUGUAAUAUUUCUUAUAUUAAAAUGGAUUUAAUAGUAAUUUUGUAAAGAUUAUCAAUUUGAUUUUAGCUCUAUAAUAUGUACACAUCGCCCGUCGCUCUCGUUAUUAAUUGAGAUAAGUCGUAACAUAGUGGUCUUACCGGAAGGUGUGGCUGGAAUGUC
RNAcentral lists this non-coding RNA (758 nucleotides) under Tryonicus mackerrasae. The record is from RNAcentral. Lineage: Eukaryota; Metazoa; Arthropoda; Insecta; Blattodea; Tryonicidae.